Molecule: long non-coding RNA, 463 nt
Organism: Peromyscus californicus insignis
Lineage: Eukaryota; Metazoa; Chordata; Mammalia; Rodentia; Cricetidae
Exons: 3
Source: RefSeq, a predicted model, not a curated record
CGAGGUUGUCGUGUGUUGUACGGAGCUCCGCUAAAUUCUUUUCCAUGUGCAAGUUGUGGCGCGUCAGCUUGGUGUGGUUCAUCUGAUUUGAGACCCAUGGCAUCAUCAAGUGCCCUCCUUAGCUGGAUCUGAAGUGAACACCAGGAAACUGGAAUUCACCCCAGGCAUCUCAUGCUGGGAGAAGGAAAGGCCUUCUGCCAGCUGGAGGAGGAACUUCCAUCCCAGAAGGGGUUUUCACACAGUACUGACUGCUGCGUCAGACCAGCUUGCUGGAGAGACAGAGCUGAGACAAAAAGUCAGCGAUGGGCAGGACUACUUAGGACUCGGACUGCUUAGAUGUGAGCAUCUUUAAUCUCACGGAGGACCACGAAGAUGGACAGAAGAGGGACACUGGAUGGAUUUCUUCGUCCCUCUUCUCGAUGCGGCCUCAUUGAUUAAAUACCCUUUCUGCUUUUUACUAUUA